Molecule: ribosomal RNA, 492 nt
Filed under: uncultured bacterium
Lineage: Bacteria
Description: partial 16S ribosomal RNA
Rfam family: Bacterial small subunit ribosomal RNA
Source: RNAcentral
AGUGAACGCUGGCGGUAGGCCUAACACAUGCAAGUCGAACGGCAGCACAGUAAGAGCUUGCUCUUACGGGUGGCGAGUGGCGGACGGGUGAGGAAUACAUCGGAAUCUACUUUUUCGUGGGGGAUAACGUAGGGAAACCUACGCUAAUACCGCAUACGACCUACGGGUGAAAGCAGGGGAUCUUCGGACCUUGCGCGAUUGAAUGAGCCGAUGUCGGAUUAGCUAGUUGGCGGGGUAAAGGCCCACCAAGGCGACGAUCCGUAGCUGGUCUGAGAGGAUGAUCAGCCACACUGGAGCUGAGACACGGUCCAGACUCCUACGGGAGGCAGCAGUGGGGAAUAUUGGACAAUGGGCGCAAGCCUGAUCCAGCCAUACCGCGUGGGUGAAGAAGGCCUUCGGGUUGUAAAGCCCUUUUGUUGGGAAAGAAAAGCAGCAGGUUAAUACCCCGCUGUUCUGACGGUACCCAAAGAAUAAGCACCGGCUAACUUCGUG